Alosa sapidissima (American shad) is the source of this 861-nucleotide long non-coding RNA. RefSeq lists it as uncharacterized. The record is from RefSeq and is a predicted model, not a curated record. The transcript has 5 exons. Lineage: Eukaryota; Metazoa; Chordata; Actinopteri; Clupeiformes; Clupeidae.
UACCUGCUGGAGGGCCUGGUGCGGUGACCGUGGGGGAGCGGCAGUCGAGGGAGGACAACGUGUGGCGUUGCUACAAUGCCCAACUGCAGCACAGCUUCAACCAGCUGGCCCAGGAGUUCAAGGGGGUCACGCUGGUUGAAUCCUACACACAGCCCAGGAAGUACACAGGCACAACCAAAGGAGCAAGGCGAUGAUAAGGGACACCAUCGCCAUGUGCCGCGUACACAGCCACGAGGGCAAGACGCUCGCCGGGGUCCGCAUCAACCGCUGGGGUGCCGUCAUGAGGGACUACAAACAGAUCCAGGACAACGUGGUCAACUGACCUGCCCUCAUGGCGAGCACCCGGAUCCAGCUGUUUGAUGUUAAUCAGCGGACCCUGUCGAUGUGAAAAUGUCAGGUGAUCAGGUGGUGCCCUCUGGCUCCCAGUCUAUGGAAGAGCUGGGCAACACGGUGGUGGGGUUUGGUGCAUAUUCACACCACACCUUUAGGUCCCUGUACAACGUGCAGGACGAAGAGAGUCGAAUGUAAGUAGUAGUGUGUGUGUGUGUGUGUUUGUUGAUUUAAUGUGUGUUUGUGUGUUUUUCCCCCUUUGCUCUUUUACAGCUAUCUGGAUUGGGUACGACAGCUGACGGUGGUAGCUGAGUCCAGGAUAGGCCGUCUGAGGAGCUAGGUGCCUCCUCCUCGGAUCCACCACCUGACGCUGUAGUGCCUGAGUGCUGAGGUCAACUCUCCCCGCACGUACAGGGGCGCCCCACCAGCCGUGGCCUUCGUCUACUAAAUUCUGCUCCGACUGAAUUUCGUUAAAGUUCACAGAUGCACUCCCUAAGACAAUGUCUUUCCACCCAAUGUUCCGCUUUGAGC